AAUGGGCACCCGCGUAUAAAAGCGACGCCACGGCGCGGCGAGUUGCUCGUGGCAAUUAUCCUCUUAGCUCUCGCACACGCACAACCACACGCCGCUCGCCUAGCUCUUCCAUAAAAGACGACGGCGAUCGCGCGUUGCUGGGGAGCUCGUCAGAGCACGGCCGGUGAUCGCGGAAGAAUAGUCGAGAGCUGCUCGGCGUCGGUGGUGGUGCGCGCGCGCGGGGGGAUCGUUGAUCGAUGGCUAGGGAAGCGGAGGCGGCGCUGCGGCCGUUCGUCCAGGCGGCGGGCGGCGACGGGGAGUUCAUCUCGGGCGGGCCGGCGGCGACGGCGUUCCUCGCCACGGAUAGGACGGAUCGGCCGGUGGACCCGGUGAUCUGGGGCGACGAGAAGCGGAUGAAGCGGGAGCUCGUGGCGUGGGCCAAGGCCGUGGCGUCCAUGUCGGCCGGCAAGAACACCUCCUGCUCCUCCACGCCAUCGUCGACGCCGUCGCCAUCCAUGAGACGAGGCAGGGUAUAGUGUGCCGAUUCUGGUGGGCACGGUAUCGCUGGGGCAACAACCACCCUCGAUUCUUCUUCCACUUCAAUUCGCUUGACAGCACAUCUUGUCAUAGUUGUUGCCCAAUAUGCUGAUUUCUCUCCAUAAAAGGAGCUCUUGAUGUACAGUAAGUAUUGAGGUAUUGUAUAGGAGGAUGAUCUUGUGGCAACUGCCAAAUGU
This 713-nucleotide long non-coding RNA is filed under the name Setaria viridis. Its description in RNAcentral is "long non-coding RNA (SVIR_LNC003965)". The record is from RNAcentral. Lineage: Eukaryota; Viridiplantae; Streptophyta; Magnoliopsida; Poales; Poaceae.